GUAGGGUAACCGUAGCCCAACGAGAUCGGGAGUAACACCCUGGAAACAGAUGCUAAUACCGGAUAACAACAGAUGAUGCCUAUCAACUGUUUAAAAGAUGGUUCUGCUAUCACCCUUGGAUGGACCUGCGGUGCAUUAGCUAGUUGGUAGGGUAACGGCCUACCAAGGCGAUGAUGCAUAGCCGAGUUGAGAGACUGAUCGGCCACAUUGGGACUGAGACACGGCCCAAACUCCUACGGGAGGCAGCAGCC
RNAcentral lists this ribosomal RNA (251 nucleotides) under uncultured Lactobacillus sp. Its description in RNAcentral is "partial 16S ribosomal RNA". It matches the Rfam family "Bacterial small subunit ribosomal RNA", at positions 100 to 355 of the family's 1533-position model. Lineage: Bacteria; Bacillati; Bacillota; Bacilli; Lactobacillales; Lactobacillaceae. The record is from RNAcentral.